RNAcentral lists this ribosomal RNA (460 nucleotides) under uncultured bacterium. RNAcentral's name for it is "partial 16S ribosomal RNA". It matches the Rfam family "Bacterial small subunit ribosomal RNA", at positions 338 to 795 of the family's 1533-position model. The record is from RNAcentral.
CCUACGGGGGGCUGCAGUGAGGAAUAUUGGUCAAUGGACGAGAGCCUGAACCAGCCAAGUAGCGUGAAGGAUGACUGCCCUACGGGUUGUAAACUUCUUUUAUAUGGGAAUAAAAUGAUCCACGUGUGGGAUUUUGUAUGUACCAUAUGAAUAAGGAUCGGCUAACUCCGUGCCAGCAGCCGCGGUAAUACGGAGGAUCCGAGCGUUAUCCGGAUUUAUUGGGUUUAAAGGGAGCGUAGGUGGAUUGUUAAGUCAGUUGUGAAAGUUUGCGGCUCAACCGUAAAAUUGCAGUUGAUACUGGCAGUCUUGAGUACAGUAGAGGUAGGCGGAAUUCGUGGUGUAGCGGUGAAAUGCUUAGAUAUCACGAAGAACUCCGAUUGCGAAGGCAGCUCACUAGACUGCAACUGACAUUGAGGCUCGAAAGUGUGGGUAUCAAACAGGAUUAGAUACCCGUGUAGUC